RNAcentral lists this ribosomal RNA (468 nucleotides) under uncultured bacterium. RNAcentral describes it as "partial 16S ribosomal RNA". It matches the Rfam family "Bacterial small subunit ribosomal RNA", at positions 28 to 507 of the family's 1533-position model. The record is from RNAcentral.
GACGAACGCUGGCGGCGUGCUUAACACAUGCAAGUCGAACGGAAAGGCCCUGCUUUUGUGGGGUGCUCGAGUGGCGAACGGGUGAGUAACACGUGAGUAACCUGCCCUUGACUUUGGGAUAACUUCAGGAAACUGGGGCUAAUACCGGAUAGGAGCUCCUGCUGCAUGGUGGGGGUCGGAAAGUUUCGGCGGUUGGGGAUGGACUCGCGGCUUAUCAGCUUGUUGGUGGGGUAGUGGCUUACCAAGGCUUUGACGGGUAGCCGGCCUGAGAGGGUGACCGGCCACAUUGGGACUGAGAUACGGCCCAGACUCCUACGGGAGGCAGCAGUGGGGAAUAUUGCACAAUGGGCGGAAGCCUGAUGCAGCAACGCCGCGUGCGGGAUGACGGCCUUCGGGCUGUAAACCGCUUUCGCCUGUGACGAAGCGUGAGUGACGGUAAUGGGUAAAGAAGCACCGGCUAACUACGUG